GACGCACGCUGGCGGCGUGCCUAAUACAUGCACGUAGCACGCAGUUGCGAACGGGUGAGUCACGCAUAGGUAACUGCCUGGUAGCGGGGGAUAACUCUUGGAAACGAUAGCUAAUACCGAAUACUACCAGAUGGACCUGCGUUGUAUUAGCUAGUUGGUGGGGUAACGGCUCACCAAGGAAACGAUACAUAGCCGACCUGCGAGGGUGAUCGGCAACACUGGGACUGAGAAACGGCCCAGACUCCUACGGGAGGAAGCAGUAGGGAAUCUUCGGCAAUGGACGGAAGUCUGACCGAGCAACGCCGCGUGAGUGAAGAAGGUUUGCGGAUCGUAAAGCUCUGUUGUAAGAGAAGCGGUAUCUUACCAGAAAGGGACGGCUAACUACGUGCCAGCAGCCGCGGUAAUUC
This 407-nucleotide ribosomal RNA is filed under the name uncultured bacterium. Its description in RNAcentral is "partial 16S ribosomal RNA". It matches the Rfam family "Bacterial small subunit ribosomal RNA", at positions 28 to 526 of the family's 1533-position model. The record is from RNAcentral.